Molecule: ribosomal RNA, 549 nt
Filed under: uncultured bacterium
Lineage: Bacteria
Description: bacterial SSU rRNA
Rfam family: Bacterial small subunit ribosomal RNA
Source: RNAcentral
AUUGAACGCUGGCGGCAUGCCUAACACAUGCAAGUCGAACGAGGUUGGCCUCGGCCAGCCUAGUGGCGGACGGGUGAGUAAUGCGUGGGAAUCUGCCUCGUAGUGGGGGAUAACGUAGGGAAACUUACGCUAAUACCGCAUACGCUCUACGGAGGAGGGGGGGGGGAUCUUCGGACCUCUCGCUAUGAGAUGACCCCACGUCUGAUUAGCUAGUUGGUGGGGUAAAGGCCUACCAAGGCGACGAUCAGUAGCCGGCCUGAGAGGGUGUACGGCCACACUGGGACUGAGACACGGCCCACACUCCUACGGGAGGCAGCAGUGGGGAAUAUUGGACAAUGGGCGAAAGCCUGAUCCAGCAAUGCCGCGUGUGUGAAGAAGGCCUGCUGGUUGUAAAGCACUUUAAGUGGGGAAGAAUGGGAUUGCGCUAAUACCGUGAUCCUUUGACGUUACCCACAGAAUAAGCACCGGCUAACUCCGUGCCAGCAGCCGCGGUAAUACGGGAGGGUGCGAGCGUUAAUCGGAAUCGCUGGGCGUAAAGCGCAUGUAGGC